AUUUCUCAUGGGUACAUAGUGGAGGUGAUCUGUGUGUCUUAAAGCUUGGGGUGGUCCUGUGGCCUGUAGUAGAUGCAUAGGACAUCUUCAGUGGAGGGACAAUUUUAAAGCUCUGCCCCUGAAUCUUCCCAGUGUGCCUUGGGACCAGCAGUUUCUACUGCUUCAUCGUGGGACCCUGAGAGACCACUGCUCUUGGUAUCCAUGGCGUUAUGGAAGGACAGCACAUCCGAAACCUCCUUACAGGAGCAGCUGGAAACUAUGAGGUAUCAGGGUACUAUAAGAAGGAUGGAAGAUUUGCACGUCCAGCUGAGAGUGGGUAAACAAAUGAGCAGCUACGUGUCUUACCUAACUCAUACGGAGAAUGGACCUUUGAGAUGAGCUGUUUCCUGGAAUUCAAAGGAGGUGGACUUCCCGACGUUCACUGCUGUCCCGGGUCACAGGGCUCGGACAGUAUUCGCCAUGAUCACGGAGGAAAGAACAAAGUUUUAUUGCUCAAAAUGCUAUACGGGGGACCCUGAAGAAAAAGCCUGUGAUGCUGUCAAGUGCCUGCGGAGAGGGCCCGUAUGGGUUGGGUCUCAUGUCGUGGAACUGCAGCCUAGCCUUUAGCCAACAGCGACAACAACCACCAGAACAACAAAACCACAUCAGCUUCUGAGCACCACUGUGCACAAUGUGAGGGAGCUCAGAUUUAUUUCUAGUUUAGCCUUCAGCUGACCACACAGCUCACGUGACACCCUAGAUGCCGCUAGGUAAUACUCUAAAGCAGAGACCAAAGUCGACUUUUACCUGGACAUCUUACCCCU
Long non-coding RNA from Neogale vison (American mink), 803 nucleotides. RefSeq lists it as uncharacterized. The record is from RefSeq and is a predicted model, not a curated record. The transcript has 4 exons. Lineage: Eukaryota; Metazoa; Chordata; Mammalia; Carnivora; Mustelidae.